AAAAACUGACCUAAGCGAGGGAUCGGGCUGAGGCCGGCGUCGUACAGGGCCUGCUCGGUGACGAGCUCCCUCUGCUUCGGCACCGAGAUGUCCUUUAGCCGGUGGAAGUCUUCCCGAUCCUCGGCUUCCACCCGACUAUUCUCAUUCGGUUCGGUUCAGGGAUUCCCCCAACGGGCAGGGAACCCCCAGGGAGCGGAAGAG
RNAcentral lists this long non-coding RNA (201 nucleotides) under Elaeis guineensis (African oil palm). RNAcentral describes it as "long non-coding RNA (EGUI_LNC081666)". Lineage: Eukaryota; Viridiplantae; Streptophyta; Magnoliopsida; Arecales; Arecaceae. The record is from RNAcentral.